GAGACAAGGGAUUUUGAUGUUAAGAGGAGACUAACCUUCUUAAUGAUGCAAAAUCUCUUCAUGGUGAUGGAGAGGAGUUUGUUCAAGAAUUUCAACCUGAAUAUUCAAUCGAGCAAAGUUUUGAAGAUGAUAUCAAUAGCACAAAUGGUGCGAAUAACAAAGGUUUUGAGAAUGAGAAUAGUGGAGGUGAAUUGGGAUUACCAAUUCAAGGAGAAAAGAAGAAAAACAUAUCUCUCACAAUCAAAUACUAAUGUUCAUCUCUCAAUUACAAUCUCUUUCAGAAUUAAAUGAAAGUAGAGAACAAGGUCUUUGUCUUUGGCGUGAAGAAAUAUAGACAUUGGAUUAUAGUUGUGACAAAAAAUCAAUGCAAGUUACCAUCAUAAAUACUGUUGAAGAUGAAGAAGAUGUUUGAUGCACUUGUAUUAUAUAGAUGUUUUUAAGUACAUUUGUAAAUUAUUUCAUAGCAUUUAGAUAAGUA
RNAcentral lists this unclassified non-coding RNA (478 nucleotides) under Hevea brasiliensis (rubber tree). The record is from RNAcentral. Lineage: Eukaryota; Viridiplantae; Streptophyta; Magnoliopsida; Malpighiales; Euphorbiaceae.